UCCUCGGUAGUAUAGUGGUUAGAAUCCGCGUCUGUCACAUGCGAGUCCCGGGUUCAAUUCCCGGCCGGGGAG
Molecule: non-coding RNA, 72 nt
Organism: Angiostrongylus costaricensis
Lineage: Eukaryota; Metazoa; Nematoda; Chromadorea; Rhabditida; Metastrongylidae
Source: Rfam